RNAcentral lists this long non-coding RNA (392 nucleotides) under Androctonus crassicauda. Lineage: Eukaryota; Metazoa; Arthropoda; Arachnida; Scorpiones; Buthidae. The record is from RNAcentral.
GAGGUUAAGUGAACACAAAGCAGAUGUAGCCAAAGGAAGAAUGAAUACGGCGCUGGCAUCCUGCGCGUACGAAAACGAUGUGCAGAUAUACUGGAAAGAUGCUAAGAUAGUAAAACCGCUACCGAAAGAGAGACAUGCAAUUAUGGCUGAAACUAUUCAGAUCUUUACCAGAAGUGGGAAGCAAGACUUAGUGAAUGACUACCCUACGAAAGAAUUAGCGGCGCUGUGGAAGUAUCUUUUAACUAACGUGACCCAUUAGUUCUAUGUGAUCAUUACUAGUAAGGAGGCUAACUUCCAACUCCCAUAUAAGAACAUUGAAUUUAGGAAUUUUUAGCUAGCUUUGUAUGCUUUUAUUUAUGUUUAUUCGCUUAUUUUAUUUAUAUACUUACCCG